CAGUCGCCGGGGAAUACCGAGGGUGCGAGCGUUAAUCGGAUUUACUGGGCGUAAAGCGUGCGUAGGCGGCUUUUUAAGUCGGAUGUGAAAUCCCUGAGCUUAACUUAGGAAUUGCAUUCGAUACUGGGAAGCUAGAGUAAGGUAGAGGAUAGUGGAAUUUCCGGUGUAGCAGUGAAAUGCGUAGAGAUCGGAAGGAACAUCUGUGGCGAAGGCGACUAUCUGGGCCAUUACUGACACUGAGGCACGAAAGCGUGGGGAGCAAACAGGAUUAGAUACCCGCGUAGUCCCUGUCUCUUAUACA
RNAcentral lists this ribosomal RNA (301 nucleotides) under uncultured bacterium. RNAcentral's name for it is "partial 16S ribosomal RNA". It matches the Rfam family "Bacterial small subunit ribosomal RNA", at positions 512 to 808 of the family's 1533-position model. The record is from RNAcentral.